Long non-coding RNA from Eucalyptus grandis, 654 nucleotides. RefSeq lists it as uncharacterized. The record is from RefSeq and is a predicted model, not a curated record. The transcript has 3 exons. Lineage: Eukaryota; Viridiplantae; Streptophyta; Magnoliopsida; Myrtales; Myrtaceae.
GUGUCCCAUGGUUUCAAGCUGGAUUUCCUGCACCUGGCCUAACUUUCUUCCCAGUUCAUGGAUCACAUUGUUUCAGCACUAGCAAAUUGCUGGAGUAAGACCAAGGUGAAGAUUUGAGUAUUCUGUCCUUUUCUACCUCUGACUGGAACACAAAGAAAACUCAACACUAUUUUCAGUCAUUCCUCUCAACAAACCAGCUGGAUCCCUAUCGUUUUUAGAGGUUUUCCACAGAACUACUACACUGAAUUCCUUCCAGAAAGGCAAACCAACAGCAUAUUCUCCUCAUCAACAGAUUUCGCAUUCACACUGUCAGAAACUGCGUGGAACCCAUACACUUCAAAGUCAUGAGGAUAAAGAAGGAGGAAUCCAACCUUGUAUCAACACCCAGAAGCCCGUGCACUUCCCCUGGUCGGAGGGUUGUCACCGAACAUCUCCAUGGGUUUUCACCGAACCAUCUCCAUUGCUCCUUCCGGAUACGGCCAUAGCAUUCGAGGGAAACUCCCUUUUUUUUUUUUUCUUCGGAUUUUCGGAUUUUUGAUGAAAGAAAAGCGAUAUGUAAUAGGAUCGAAAACUCGAAAGAGAGGAGAUUUAGCCAAUGGCUAUGGUUUCUGUAUUAGACAUUGCUACCAGUUGGUAGGGAGAAGCUCGCAUACA